CAAUAGCGUAUAUUAAAGUUUGUUGCGGUUAAAAGCUCGUAGUUGGAUUUCUGUCGAGGACGGUCGGUCCACACUUUGUGUGAGUAUCUGAUUCGGCCUUGGCAUCCUCUUGAAAAACGUUUCUGCGCUUGAUUGCGUGGAGCGGAGUUCAAGACUUUUUACUUUAGAGGAAAUUAGAGUGUUUCAAGCAGGCACACGCCUUGAAUACAUUAGCAUGGAAUAAUAAGAUAGGACCUCGGUUCUAUUUUGUUGGUUUCUAGAGCUGAGGUAAUGAUUAAUAGGGAUAGUUGGGGGCAUUCGUAUUUAACUGUCAGAGGUGAAAUUCUUGGAUUUGUUAAAGACGGACUAACUGCGAAAGCAUUUGCCAAGGAUGUUUUCAUUGAUCAAGAACGAAAGUUAGGGGAUCGAAGACGAUCAGAUACCGU
RNAcentral lists this ribosomal RNA (425 nucleotides) under uncultured eukaryote. RNAcentral's name for it is "bacterial SSU rRNA". It matches the Rfam family "Eukaryotic small subunit ribosomal RNA", at positions 592 to 1018 of the family's 1831-position model. The record is from RNAcentral.